This is a non-coding RNA of Fundulus heteroclitus (mummichog), 399 nucleotides long. NCBI's taxonomy places the organism in Eukaryota, Metazoa, Chordata, Actinopteri, Cyprinodontiformes, Fundulidae. The record is from the annotation of a RefSeq genome assembly.
AUGACAGGAGUGGACCAGGUGAAGAUGGCAGAACUGGCUGACCAGGAGAUCGUGGUGGAAACAGGCCUAACUGCUGGGAGUGAUGUCAACCAGCCAGACAUGCUGUGGAGAAACCAGGGUGACAAUGCAACAAUCGAGUGCAAACACUCCAAGGGUGCUAGCUAUUACCAGAUGUACUGGUAUAGACAGCUUCCUGGAGAAACUAUGAAACAGAUUGUUUUCACUAUUGCAAACUCCAAACCCGACUUUGAGGCUGAAUUCAGAAGUGAAAAAUUCUCAGUGACCAAGACCGAUGCUCUCAGUGGGACGUUCACAGUGAGCAAGCUGGUUCCAGGAGAUAAAGGCCUGUAUUUCUGUGCUGUAAGUGAGCACAGUGAUGGAAACAACCCGAAAGCCUGA